Molecule: ribosomal RNA, 440 nt
Filed under: uncultured bacterium
Lineage: Bacteria
Description: partial 16S ribosomal RNA
Rfam family: Bacterial small subunit ribosomal RNA
Source: RNAcentral
CCUACUGGUGGCAGCAGUAGGGAAUUUUGCGCAAUGGGCGAAAGCCUGACGCAGCAACGCCGCGUGAGUGAGACGCCCUUCGGGGUGUAAAGAUCUGUCAGUGGGGACGAAACUUGACGGUACCAAAAGAGGAAGCACCGGCUAACUCCGUGCCAGCCGCCGCGGUCAUACGGGGGGUGCAAGCGUUGUCCGGAUUCAUUGGGCGGAAAGAGUUCGUAGGCGGGACGUAAAGUCAGGUGUUAAAGGCCGGGGCCCAACUUCUGUACGGCACUGGAUACUUGGUGGCGAGAAUGCGGGAGAGGUAGAGGGAAUUCCUGGUGUAGCGGGGAAAUGCUUAGAUACCAGGAGGAACAACGGUGGCGUAGGCGCUUUACUGGGCCGUAAUUGACGCUGAGGAACGAAAGCCAGGGUAGCAAAUAGGAUUAGAUACCCCAGUAGUC